GAUGAACGCUGGCGGCGUGCCUAAUACAUGCAAGUAGAACGCUGAAGGAGGAGCUUGCUCUUCUGGAUGAGUUGCGAACGGGUGAGUAACGCGUAGGUAACCUGCCUGGUAGCGGGGGAUAACUAUUGGAAACGAUAGCUAAUACCGCAUGACAACAGUUAUUGCAUGAUAACUGUUUAAAAGGGGCAACUGCUCCACUACCAGAUGGACCUGCGUUGUAUUAGCUAGUUGGUGAGGUAACGGCUCACCAAGGCGACGAUACAUAGCCGACCUGAGAGGGUGAUCGGCCACACUGGGACUGAGACACGGCCCAGACUCCUACGGGAGGCAGCAGUAGGGAAUCUUCGGCAAUAGACGGAAGUCUGACCGAGCAACGCCGCGUGAGUGAAGAAGGUUUUCGGAUCGUAAAGCUCUGUUGUAAGAGAAGAACGAGUGUGAGAGUGGAAAGUUCACACUGUGGCGGUAUCUUACCAGAAAGGGACGGCUAACUACGUG
Molecule: ribosomal RNA, 495 nt
Filed under: uncultured bacterium
Lineage: Bacteria
Description: partial 16S ribosomal RNA
Rfam family: Bacterial small subunit ribosomal RNA
Source: RNAcentral